Molecule: ribosomal RNA, 246 nt
Filed under: uncultured bacterium
Lineage: Bacteria
Description: partial 16S ribosomal RNA
Rfam family: Bacterial small subunit ribosomal RNA
Source: RNAcentral
UACGGGGGUGCAAGCGUUGUUCGGAAUUAUUGGGCGUAAAGAGCGUGUAGGCGGCGGAAUAAGUCAGAUGUGAAAGCCCUGGGCUUAACCCAGGAAGUGCAUUUGAUACUGUUCUGCUUGAGUACUGGAGAGGGAAGAGGAAUUCCUGGUGUAGAGGUGAAAUUCGUAGAUAUCAGGAGGAACACCGGUGGCGAAGGCGACUUCCUGGCCAGAUACUGACGCUGAGACGCGAGAGCGUGGGGGAGC